Molecule: ribosomal RNA, 463 nt
Filed under: uncultured bacterium
Lineage: Bacteria
Description: partial 16S ribosomal RNA
Rfam family: Bacterial small subunit ribosomal RNA
Source: RNAcentral
ACGCUGGCGGCGUGCUUAACACAUGCAAGUCGAACGGAAAGGCCCUGCUUUUGUGGGGUGCUCGAGUAGCGAACGGGUGAGUAACACGUGAGUAACCUGCCCUUGACUUUGGGAUAACUUCAGGAAACUGGGGCUAAUACCGGAUAGGAGCUCCUGCUGCAUGGUGGGGGUUGGAAAGUUUCGGCGGUUGGGGAUGGACUCGCGGCUUAUCAGCUUGUUGGUGGGGUAGUGGCUUACCAAGGCUUUGACGGGUAGCCGGCCUGAGAGGGUGACCGGCCACAUUGGGACUGAGAUACGGCCCAGACUCCUACGGGAGGCAGCAGUGGGGAAUAUUGCACAAUGGGCGGAAGCCUGAUGCAGCAACGCCGCGUGCGGGAUGACGGCCUUCGGGUUGUAAACCGCUUUCGCCUGUGACGAAGCGUGAGUGACGGUAAUGGGUAAAGAAGCACCGGCUAACUACGUG